CGAGGAGAGAAUCCUAAGGUGCUAGAGUGAAUCAUGGUUAAGGAACUAGGCAAAAUAGUCUCGUAACUUCGGAAGAAGAGACGCCAUCAGCAAUGGUGGCCGCAGUGAAGAGGCCCAGGCGACUGUUUAUCAAAAACACAGGACUCUGCUAAAUCGAAAGAUGCUGUAUAGGGUCUGACACCUGCCCGGUGCUGGAAGGUUAAGGAAGGGCGUUAGCAGCAAUGCGAAGCGUUUGACUGAAGCCCCAGUAAACGGCGGCCGUAACUAUAACGGUCCUAAGGUAGCGAAAUUCCUUGUCGGGUAAGU
Molecule: non-coding RNA, 306 nt
Filed under: Chryseobacterium sp. Hurlbut01
Lineage: Bacteria; Pseudomonadati; Bacteroidota; Flavobacteriia; Flavobacteriales; Weeksellaceae
Description: bacterial LSU rRNA
Rfam family: Bacterial large subunit ribosomal RNA
Source: RNAcentral